RNAcentral lists this ribosomal RNA (606 nucleotides) under Bacillus sp. (in: firmicutes). RNAcentral's name for it is "bacterial SSU rRNA". It matches the Rfam family "Bacterial small subunit ribosomal RNA", at positions 72 to 662 of the family's 1533-position model. The record is from RNAcentral. Lineage: Bacteria; Bacillati; Bacillota; Bacilli; Caryophanales; Bacillaceae.
AAGGGAGCUUGCUCCCGGAUGUUAGCGGCGGACGGGUGAGUAACACGUGGGUAACCUGCCUGUAAGACUGGGAUAACUCCGGGAAACCGGAGCUAAUACCGGAUAGUUCCUUGAACCGCAUGGUUCAAGGAUGAAAGACGGUUUCGGCUGUCACUUACAGAUGGACCCGCGGCGCAUUAGCUAGUUGGUGGGGUAAUGGCUCACCAAGGCGACGAUGCGUAGCCGACCUGAGAGGGUGAUCGGCCACACUGGGACUGAGACACGGCCCAGACUCCUACGGGAGGCAGCAGUAGGGAAUCUUCCGCAAUGGACGAAAGUCUGACGGAGCAACGCCGCGUGAGUGAUGAAGGUUUUCGGAUCGUAAAGCUCUGUUGUUAGGGAAGAACAAGUGCGAGAGUAACUGCUCGCACCUUGACGGUACCUAACCAGAAAGCCACGGCUAACUACGUGCCAGCAGCCGCGGUAAUACGUAGGUGGCAAGCGUUGUCCGGAAUUAUUGGGCGUAAAGGGCUCGCAGGCGGUUUCUUAAGUCUGAUGUGAAAGCCCCCCGGCUCAACCGGGGAGGGUCAUUGGAAACUGGGAAACUUGAGUGCAGAAAGAGGAGAG